Molecule: small nuclear RNA, 106 nt
Organism: Dipodomys ordii (Ord's kangaroo rat)
Lineage: Eukaryota; Metazoa; Chordata; Mammalia; Rodentia; Heteromyidae
Source: Ensembl
GUGCUUGCUUUGGCAGCACAUAAACUGAAAUUAGAAUGACACAAAGAAAUUUACCAUGACCCCUGCACAAGAUGAUACGCAAGUUCACAAAUCAUUCCAUAUUUUU